AAUCAACGCUGGCGGCGUGCCUCAGACAUGCAAGUCGAACGAUUAAAGCUCUCUUCGGAGAGUGUAUAGAGUGGCGCACGGGUGAGUAACACGUAAGUAAUCUACCCUCGGGUGGGGAAUAACAUCGGGAAACCGAUGCUAAUACCGCAUAAUGCAGCGGCUCCUAAUGGAGACAGUUGUUAAAGGAUUUAUUCGCCUGGGGAGGAGCUUGCGGCAGAUUAGCAGUUGGUAAGGUAAUGGCUUACCAAGGCUACGAUCUGUAGCCGGUCUAAGAGGACGGUCGGUCACACUGACACUGAAUAACGGGUCAGACUCCUACGGGAGGCAGCAGUCGGGAAUUUUGGGCAAUGGGCGAAAGCCUGACCCAGCAACGCCGCGUGAAGGA
This 385-nucleotide ribosomal RNA is filed under the name uncultured bacterium. RNAcentral describes it as "bacterial SSU rRNA". It matches the Rfam family "Bacterial small subunit ribosomal RNA", at positions 32 to 408 of the family's 1533-position model. The record is from RNAcentral.